AACCCACGGUGAGGGCACCUUCUCAGAAAAUCCUUGUAUCUCUGCCAUGCAUCGUAAAGUGUUUCUAAAUCCAUCUGCACAAAACAAGAGAUAUCAUUAUGUAAUU
Gossypium arboreum is the source of this 106-nucleotide non-coding RNA. The record is from Rfam. Lineage: Eukaryota; Viridiplantae; Streptophyta; Magnoliopsida; Malvales; Malvaceae.